Molecule: long non-coding RNA, 460 nt
Organism: Salvia miltiorrhiza (redroot sage)
Lineage: Eukaryota; Viridiplantae; Streptophyta; Magnoliopsida; Lamiales; Lamiaceae
Exons: 2
Source: RefSeq, a predicted model, not a curated record
AAAUUAAUUUUAUUUUGAAAUCCCUCCGCCCUUGUUGCGAGAGUCGCCACUUCUUCCGCUCCUCUCUCACUCUCCGCCUCUCCACGCUCAACUCAAGCAUCCUAAACACAAGGGCAUUGGACAAUGAAAGUCAAGAUUAUCCGUACGCUUCUUACGAACUAUAGACAUUUUCAAACUAUCAAAUUAGCUAACAUAUUUUCCUUGAGGUGGCAGCUGUUGCAUCUUGGACAUGGGAUGCCCAAGAUGAAACCUGUAGAAUUUGUAGGAUGGCUUUCGAUGGCUGUUGCCCUGAUUGUAAACUCCCCGGAGAUGAUUGUCACAUAUUAAUAUUUCUUUUUCUUCCCUUUUUAUUGCUUUUAGUUUAGAGUUGAUUAUCUGUAUUCCCUUAUUCAUAGUUGUGAACUUGCCCUCCUUGCCUAGUGCCAUUUUCUCACUCAGUUAAACUUGAAGACCUUCUCUC